AAAUGUUGUUAUUUUUCCCAUUCUUAAGUAGUCCUUUGUUGUCACGUUUUCAAUUAUUUAUUUGUGGCGGUCUAAUAAGCCCUCAGUCACAUAGGCCUACAGACCGGUUGGCAGCUACCUGGCAAACACCAAACGCCAGGGGAAAGUGAGUAUUCCCCAAUUGGUGUUCGCAACUGCUGAGAAAGUCAAGGCUAGUGACCCACUGGCAACUGUUGUUUGCUCGGGAAAAAUUUGUACUUCCAGUGAUGUAUUUAUCAUGUGGUUGAGAGAAGUUGCUUGCUGGAAAUUUGUUGAGGGAAAUUUUUCCCUCGUUGAGUUGCUUUGAUCAUUAGCAGAUUGACAUGAUUGCCUGUAGUUUGGAUGGAACACACCACCUUCUGGAUGUUCUAUCAAAUGCUAAUUGGACUUAAAAAUUCAAACAUUUUGCUAUUCACAGAAGCCUUUGCUAAUGUGAACCGUGGCUUGCGGAAAAACAAACAAAAAAAACCAACGAAAAAUGAAGAUGCUGAUUUGUAUUAGGCCUAUUAGAACUACAAAUAAUCACAAAACAUAUAUUGAUUGCAAAUUUAUCUGUGCGUACUAGCAUUUAUCCAUUAAUGGAGAUGAAUUAGGACUGAGGCUGCUCUCACUACAAGUGGGCACACAAUGAAGACAAUUCUAGAAGCACAGAGCAGAAUGCUUAAUUAACGUUAAGAUUACUUAUUGUCUCCCAUACGAGAAGCUUAUCUUGGGGUUGAAGAAUAGCUUCAUCAAAGCAGGCAUUACAAUGAAAAACACAUUAAAUAGGCACAUAUGCAAACACCAGUCUCAGAUAAAAACAACUGAGCACAUUAGUCACAACUGAUUUAAAAUCUUUUAGAGAACUUACAUUAAACUGGUACAUUAAACUGCUAAAACACCUCCCACUUCACAAGCUCACCAACACUGGACUGAGGUAAAGAAAAAAAAAAAAAAGCAGAUAAAGUAAAUGAAAUUUAGUAAAGGUUUAAAGGUUUUUAAGGAAACAUUGGAGCUUGUUAGCAAUGUUGUUCAAUAAUCAGAUUUAUGCUGACAAAUGAAACUGACGCACCAUUUACAAUUUGCUCAUGGCACAUCUUGUUGAAGCAGCAUGAUGGCAGCAUGCCUCUUCUUCCUCACCUAGCAAGGUGUGUAAUAUAAACAUUGUUAAACAGAAUGAUGUAUUUCAUCAUGUAUCAUUGAUGUCAUUAUUAGUGAUGACCCCAACCGUAACUUUAACUUUAAUUCUAACCCGACAAUCAUAAUAUUUUUUUUAUUAAAAUGCCCCCCCCCC
Molecule: long non-coding RNA, 1291 nt
Organism: Astatotilapia calliptera (eastern happy)
Lineage: Eukaryota; Metazoa; Chordata; Actinopteri; Cichliformes; Cichlidae
Source: Ensembl